RNAcentral lists this ribosomal RNA (253 nucleotides) under uncultured bacterium. RNAcentral describes it as "partial 16S ribosomal RNA". It matches the Rfam family "Bacterial small subunit ribosomal RNA", at positions 524 to 776 of the family's 1533-position model. The record is from RNAcentral.
UACGUAGGGGGCGAGCGUUGUCCGGAAUCAUUGGGCGUAAAGCGCGUGUAGGCGGCCCGGUAAGUCCGCUGUGAAAGUCCAGGGCUCAACCCUGGGAUGCCGGUGGAUACUGUCGGGCUCGAGUCCGGAAGAGGCGAGUGGAAUUCCUGGUGUAGCGGUGAAAUGCGCAGAUAUCAGGAGGAACACCAAUGGCGAAGGCAGCUCGCUGGGACGUGACUGACGCUGAGACGCGAAAGCGUGGGAGGCAAACAGG